AACGCACAUUGCGCCCGCCAGUAUUCUGGCGGGCAUGCCUGUUCGAGCGUCAUUUCAACCCUCAAGCCCUCGGGUUUGGUGUUGGGGAUCGGCGAGCCUUUCUGGCAAGCCGGCCCCGAAAUCUAGUGGCGGUCUCGCUGCAGCCUCCAUUGCGUAGUAGUAAAACCCUCGCAACUGGAACGCGGCGCGGCCAAGCCGUUAAACCCCCAACUUCUGAAUGUUGACCUCGGAUCAGGUAGGAAUACCCGCUGAACUUAA
RNAcentral lists this unclassified non-coding RNA (258 nucleotides) under uncultured fungus. RNAcentral's name for it is "sequence contains ITS2". The stretch from base 1 to 52 matches the Rfam family "5.8S ribosomal RNA", at positions 103 to 154 of the family's 154-position model. The record is from RNAcentral. Lineage: Eukaryota; Fungi. RNAcentral also lists the same sequence under 2 other names.